Molecule: long non-coding RNA, 489 nt
Organism: Lucilia cuprina (Australian sheep blowfly)
Lineage: Eukaryota; Metazoa; Arthropoda; Insecta; Diptera; Calliphoridae
Exons: 4
Source: RefSeq, a predicted model, not a curated record
CAGAAAUAAUAAUCAUAGAUAAGAAAACAAGACAAUUAUUGUUUCAUAUAAAAUUGCAAAAAAAAAAUCAAAUUAAAAUUGUACGUGUUGUUUGAAACAAGUUGUCGGGCACAAUCCAACCAACGGCGGCAGCAAGGAUAGUUAGAAAAUAAGUUUAUCAAAAGCUAGACACGUAAUAGUUUUACUCCAAGCGCGUAACCCUCUAAAGAAAUAUAAAAAAAUAAAAGCCUACAAACAAUCUAUUGUUUCCAUUCAUCAUUUUCAACGUGUUUCAAAGCAACAAAAACAACUUUUACACAAACUACAAUUCAAUUGAACUUUGAUAAAAACGACACGGAAAUAAUGAAUUCUAUUUUAAUUACUGGUUGUAAUCGUGGCCUUGGUCUAGGACUAGUUAAAGCUUUGGUUAAGCUGCCGAAACCACCACAACAUUUAUUUGCCACCUGCCGUAACAAGGAUCAAGCCAAGGUAAUUCAAGAAUUCGCUUGU